Molecule: small nuclear RNA, 125 nt
Organism: Sapajus apella (tufted capuchin)
Lineage: Eukaryota; Metazoa; Chordata; Mammalia; Primates; Cebidae
Product: U4atac minor spliceosomal RNA
Exons: 1
Source: RefSeq, a predicted model, not a curated record
ACCAUCUUUUUCUUGGGGUUGUGCUGCCGUCCAAUGAGCACAUAAUGAGGGCAAUAUUGCUAACGCUAAACAACAGACCCACAUCAACUAGAGCUUUGCUUUACCUUGGUACAAUUUUUGGAAAA